GGUUACGUGGCCGAGUGGCUAGGCAGAGGUCUGCAAAACCUCCUACGGCGGUUCGACCCCGCCCGUAACCUCCC
Molecule: transfer RNA, 74 nt
Filed under: Microscillaceae bacterium
Lineage: Bacteria; Pseudomonadati; Bacteroidota; Cytophagia; Cytophagales; Microscillaceae
Description: tRNA-Cys
Rfam family: tRNA
About the family: Transfer RNA (tRNA) molecules are approximately 80 nucleotides in length. Their secondary structure includes four short double-helical elements and three loops (D, anti-codon, and T loops).
Source: RNAcentral